GAUGAACGCUGGCGGCGUGCUUAACACAUGCAAGUCGAACGGAAAGGCCCUGCUUUUGUGGUGUGCUCGAGUGGCGAACGGGUGAGUAACACGUGAGUAACCUGCCCUUGUCUUUGGGAUAACUUCAGGAAAAUGGGGCUCAUACCGGAUAGGAGCUCCUGCUGCAUGGUGGGGGUUGGAAAGUUUCGGCGGUUGGGGAUGGAAUCGCGGCUUAUCAGCUUGUUGGGGGGGUAGUGGCUUACCAAGGCUUUGACGGGUAGCCCGCCUGAGAGGGUGACCGGCCACAUGGGGACUGAGAGACGGCCCAGACUCCUACGGUAGGCAGCAGGGGGGAAUAUUGCGCAAUGAGCCGGAGCCUGAUGCAGCAGCGCCGCGUGCGGGAUGACGGCCUUCGGGUUGUAAACCGCUUUCGCCUGUGACGAAGCGUGAGUGACGGUAAUGGGUAAAGAAGCACCGGCUAACUACGUG
This 468-nucleotide ribosomal RNA is filed under the name uncultured bacterium. RNAcentral describes it as "partial 16S ribosomal RNA". It matches the Rfam family "Bacterial small subunit ribosomal RNA", at positions 28 to 507 of the family's 1533-position model. The record is from RNAcentral.